RNAcentral lists this ribosomal RNA (433 nucleotides) under uncultured bacterium. RNAcentral's name for it is "partial 16S ribosomal RNA". It matches the Rfam family "Bacterial small subunit ribosomal RNA", at positions 29 to 507 of the family's 1533-position model. The record is from RNAcentral.
AACGAACGCUGGCGGCAUGCCUAACACAUGCAAGUCGAACGAGACCUUCGGGUCUAGUGGCGCACGGGUGCGUAACGCGUGGGAACCUGCCCUUAGGUUCGGAAUAACUCCCCGAAAGGGGUGCUAAUACCGGAUAAUGUCUUCGGACCAAAGAUUUAUCGCCUUUGGAUGGGCCCGCGUUGGAUUAGCUAGUUGGUAGGGUAAAAGCCUACCAAGGCGACGAUCCAUAGCUGGUCUGAGAGGAUGAUCAGCCACACUGGGACUGAGACACGGCCCAGACUCCUACGGGAGGCAGCAGAGGGGAAUAUUGGACAAUGGGCGAAAGCCUGAUAAAGCAAUGCCGCGUGAGUGAUGAAGGCCUUAGGGUUGUAAAGCUCUUUUACCCGGGAUGAUAAUGACAGUACCGGGAGAAUAAGCUCCGGCUAACUACGUG